GAACCUAUAUAAGGUAUCAUAUACCCAAAAUUUUAAAGCUAAAAAGCUCAAUGAUAAUUAAUUUGUAUUGCAUACAAAUUAUUAGCAAAUACAACUUUUGCAUCCUACUACUGCUUCACAUUUGCAAGACAACUCUUAUAAUUUAGUUCAAAUACUUAUUUUUACUGUAAUAAAAUUAGAUACUCUUAGUGAAGACAUUCUUCACCUUCAUUUUCUUAACCAUUCCAUGA
RNAcentral lists this long non-coding RNA (230 nucleotides) under Elaeis guineensis (African oil palm). Its description in RNAcentral is "long non-coding RNA (EGUI_LNC064774)". The record is from RNAcentral. Lineage: Eukaryota; Viridiplantae; Streptophyta; Magnoliopsida; Arecales; Arecaceae.